GGUUGUGGCUCAGAGGUAGAGCACGCCUCUAGCAUGCGUGAAGCACUGGGUUCAAUCCUCAGCACCA
This 67-nucleotide transfer RNA is filed under the name Marmota monax (woodchuck). RNAcentral's name for it is "tRNA.Ala". Lineage: Eukaryota; Metazoa; Chordata; Mammalia; Rodentia; Sciuridae. The record is from RNAcentral.